GAUGAACGCUGGCGGCGUGCCUAACACAUGCAAGUCGAGCGAUCUUCUUCGGAAGAGAGCGGCGGACGGGUGAGUAACGCGUGGGUAACCUGCCCUGUACACACGGAUAACAUACCGAAAGGUAUGCUAAUACGAGAUAAUAUGCUUUUAUCGCAUGGUAGAAGUAUCAAAGCUCCGGCGGUACAGGAUGGACCCGCGUCUGAUUAGCUAGUUGGUGAGGUAACGGCUCACCAAGGCGACGAUCAGUAGCCGACCUGAGAGGGUGAUCGGCCACAUUGGAACUGAGACACGGUCCAAACUCCUACGGGUGGCAG
This 314-nucleotide ribosomal RNA is filed under the name uncultured Bacillota bacterium. RNAcentral's name for it is "bacterial SSU rRNA". It matches the Rfam family "Bacterial small subunit ribosomal RNA", at positions 28 to 351 of the family's 1533-position model. Lineage: Bacteria; Bacillati; Bacillota. The record is from RNAcentral.